ACCCGACUGCUAUCGGAGUGGGACUAAGCCAUGCGAGUCGUACGUCCCGGGCUGGCGGGACGUGGCGUACGGCUCAGUAGCACGUGGUCAACCUACCCUGCGGACGGCUAUAACCCCGGGAAACUGGGGCUAAUAGCCGAUAGGGGAUAGGCGCUGGAAAGCCCUAUCCCCGAAAAGGCUACACACCCACGCCGUGUGUAGCCGCCGCAGGAUGGGGCUGCGCCCUAUCAGGUAGUAGGUGGGGUAACGGCCCACCUAGCCUAUAACGGGUGCGGGCCCUGGGAGGGGGAGCCCGGAAAAUGGGCACUGAGACAAGGGCCCAGGCCCUACGGGGCGCAGCAGGCGCGAAACCUCCGCUAUGCGCGAAAGCGCGACGGGGCCACUCCGAGUGCCGCCCGCUGAGGGCGGCUUUUGCCCAGUCCAAAAGGCUGGGCGAAUAAGGGGAGGGCAAGAUUGGUGUCAGCCGCCGCGGUAAUACCAACUCCCCGAGUGGUCGGGACGAUUAUUGGGCUUAAAGCGUCCGUAGCCGGUCGGGUGUGUCGUCGGUUAAAUCCGACGUCUCAAGCGUCGGACUGCCGGCGAUACUACCCGGCUAGGGAGCGGGAGAGGCGGCCGGUAUUCCCGGGGUAGGGGUAAAAUCCUCAGAUCCCGGGAGGACCAUCGGUGGCGAAGGCGGGCCGCUAGAACGCGUCCGACGGUGAGGGACGAAAGCUGGGGGAGCGAUCCGGAUUAGAUACCCGGGUAGUCCCAGCUGUAAACGAUGCAGGCUAGGUGUGCGGCCACCUUAGGGGUGGCCGUGUGCCGAAGGGAAACCGUUAAGCCUGCCGCCUGGGGAGUACGGCCGCAAGGCUGAAACUUAAAGGAAUUGGCGGGGGAGCACCACAAGGGGUGGAGCCUGCGGUUCAAUUGGAGUCAACGCCCGAAAACUUACCCGGGGAGACAGCAGGAUGAAGGCCAGGCUGAAGACCUUGCCAGACAAGCUGAGAGGUGGUGCAUGGCCGUCGCCGGCUCGUACCGUGAGGCGUCCGGUUAAGUCCGGCAACGAGCGAGACCCGUGCCGCCAGUUGCUCCAGCCCUCUUCGGGGGGCUGAGGAAACUGGUGGGACUGCCGCCGUAAGGCGGAGGAAGGAGCGGGCUACGGCAGGUCAGUAUGCCCUGAAUCCCCGGGGCCACACGCGGGCUACAAUGGCGCGGACAGAGGGUGGCGAGCCCGAAAGGGUGAGCCAAUCCCUAAACCGCGCCUCAGUUGGGAUCGGGGGCUGCAACCCGUCCCCGUGAACCUGGAAUCCCUAGUAACCGCGCGUCAUCAUCGCGCGGUGAAUACGUCCCUGCUCCU
Molecule: ribosomal RNA, 1336 nt
Filed under: uncultured archaeon
Lineage: Archaea
Description: bacterial SSU rRNA
Rfam family: Archaeal small subunit ribosomal RNA
Source: RNAcentral